AUUGUGUUUUCUACUUGGAAAAGUUAUCAAAACAGAGGCAAUUCGAAUGUUUGCCCUCGUGGCCGGCCGGGGCCUCCAGGGAGAGCUGGACCCAGAGGUGAUAAGGGAAGGCGAGGAAGGAAAGGUUCCCUAGGACUCAUGGGACCACCAGGAAAAAGUGGAAAACAAGGAGUCAUGGGACCACCAGGGAUGAGAGGAGAAAAUGGAAUGAAAGGUGACAUGGGGCAACCGGGUAAGCCUGGUAUGCCAGGAUUGAAAGGUGAACCAGGUGAAUCUAUUUCGAGUCCAAAAGUAGCAAUUACUCCCCCAAAACUAUUUGUCAAUGAAACCAACACAGCCUCACUCCUGUGCUCCACGUCUGGAAAUCCCACCGCCCAAAUAUCGUGGUCAAAGGUCAAUGGAUCGUUACCAAGUGACAGGACCAAAGUGCGCUUAGACGGUCUGAUUCAGAUAACUGAGGUUCGCACGAGCGACUCAGGGAAAUACAAAUGCGUGGCACAAAAUAUCCUGGGGAAAGAUGAAAAAACUGCAAGGCUUGUCGUACGAAGUAAACCUAAAGUUUCUCUCUCCUUUGGCCCGACUUAUGUUGAAAAGGGCAAGAACGUCACGUUACCAAAAUGUCACGUGACCAGUUUUCCUUCGGCAGUCAUCACAUGGUCUAGAAUGCGCGGUGAACUCGCACAUUCCAGAACUGUUAUGAAAGACGGACAGUUGUUGAUUAUCCGUGCUCAGAAAAGGGAUUCUGGUUUGUACGAAUGCAAAGCCUCCAAUAUCCUGGGGCAUGACUCAGCUUUGACAAAUCUUGGUGUCUUAGAUCUGCCCCGUUUUACAAUCAAUCCACCUGCACAGCUUGAUGUAGGAAAAGGCGAAAACAUUUCAGUCCCUUGUCAGGCUACUGGUGACCCUCAACCGAUAAUCACGUGGGUUAAAGAUAACAGUGAGCUGCCAGUUGGAAGAUCACAAGUUAGAGCGAAUGGAACACUUCAGAUGUGGAAUGUUAAGGACGAAGACUCGGGUAUAUACAUUUGUACAGCCACCUCACAAGGAUUGUUUAAAACGUCUUCUUUAAUGCAACUGAUCGUGACUGUUGCGAAAGAAUGUGGGCCCGUCGGUGUGGUGGACAAAAAUAAAAUUCCAGAUGCCGCUCUGAAAGCCAGCACAUUCUUUAGUACAGACUAUCAUCCAUACUACGGCCGACUGAAUGAAACCAGGGGAUAUGGGGGUUGGUGUGCUAAGACUAAAUUUGACAGAACAGACUAUCUUCAAGUUGAUAUGGGUGCGGUGCUGUCCUUAUGUGCUGUUGCUACGCAGGGAGCACGGAGCUAUAGUGGUGAAUGGACCGCCAGCUACAAAUUGCAUAUAUCCACAGACGGUGUAACUUGGACAACUUACAAGGAAUCGAAUGUUGAAAAGUGUGUGAGCGAUGGCUGUCCUGAAAGGCAUAAUUAAUUCAUAACGAGCUGGGGAACGGAAGUCAGUUGAACGGGCAAGAAUUGAAAUCAUUUCAGCUUCAGUCGACUAUUAGCGACCUGCGAUAGUGCUUCGCACCGCAGAAGAAGAUCAACCAGAGUCAGUUAAAAGAAACUAAGGGUAUUAUUAACCAGGUAUGUUUCUAAGUUUAUCCAUAUCUUGAUUUAAACCUUGCCAUUUCAGAGAAUGCGAAAAAAAUAAACCAUGUCAGGAACAAUUAGGGGAAAACAUUUGCCUCCACAGCGGCAGGUUAUCAUUCUUCCUAUCCUACAGAGAGUGGCUUACGCAUGACCAAAGUUCGAACGUUGCUUAUUUGUGGAAGUUUCCUAAUAACGCAGUUUUUUUCCAUCCCGGAAUAUGACAGUUCUGAUAUGCCUCACAUGACUGGUCGACAGGCUUCAUUUUUUACCGCGCUGUUUUUGAUUUCUCAAAUGUUCCGUGACAUUGUCGGUCAGCAGUGUAGAGCUGGUGGAGACCUAUACUCAAUUUAUCAAAUGAUGCUUAAGGACCACACCUUUAAGACGUUUAAGUUUCCACCAGGCACGCUGGAAUGCAGAGAGGCUUGUCUGGUUGAUGACAGAUGUCAAAGCUAUAAUGUAGUCAUGUUCAUUGCAAUAUGUGAGUUAAACAAUCGGACUAAAGAGGCCAGACCAAAGGACUUUGUCAAGGACGAGAACAGAUAUUACAUGCCGAUAGGUCGAAAACGAGAAUGUGAGCCUGUUGGUGUGGCAGACAGGAACAUAAUACCAGACGCAAGAAUGACAGCGAGCACCACUAACAGUGAUAAAGAAUAUCCAUACUAUGGCCGAUUGAAUGAAGGGAGAGGACACGGUGUGUGGUGUCCUGAUACUAGAUCUGAGAGAACAGACUUUCUUCAAGUUGAUAUGGGCACAGAGCACUCUGUUUGCGCCGUGGCGACACAAGGACAUGGAGGGGGUGCUCGAGUCACCAGUUACAAAGUACGCCUUUCUGCGGACGGAAUAACUUGGAUCACUUACAAGGAAAUAAAUAUUAAAAAGGUGUUUGUAGGAAAUUCCGACGGAAGGAGUGUUGUGAAAAAUUCAAUGGGUACUGACGUCAAAGCCAGAUAUGUUCGGUUUUAUCCUGUCACAUUUAACCUGUGGCCAUGCACGAGUGUUGAAAUAUAUGUGAGGAAAUGAUGGACCAAACAAGUUUACUUAUCUAACAGCUCAAUCACUAACAGCAUACAAUCAGAAUAACUAGAAAGAAAACACCAAAAAAAUCACAAAAAUAAUUUUAGAAUUGAUAGUGAUAAUGAUAGUAAUGAUUAUGAUAGAAGUAUUGACAAAGAUAACAAUUACAAGUCUAGGCUGGAAUAUGCAAACAAAGCUCUGAUUCCGUACAGAUAGUCAAUAAGCGAACGGAAAAUCUUCUAUAUUCAGCAGAAUUACACAGUUAAACAGAAUCUGGGGUAGACGGAUAAGAUAUUCCGCAUUUGUUUCAAAGUUGUUUGUGUAACAUCGGUAUUUAUCUAGUAUAACAUUCAGUUACCAUUGCUGAUUUCUGACGUGAUCUCUAGAUACAUAUGAGUCAUCUUUUCUAUCCAGACCAGUUGAUGACUUGUGGAAGGACAUCAGUGAAAGUCUAAUUGAAAUUCCUGAAGCAGGACAAAAAUAGUCAAACAAUGCAAUAAGUGAAUGGCUCAUGCAAAUAAUAUCAAUAGAUUCAGUGGAAUUGAGACUACUGAAGGGUGGAUACCUGAAACCAAACAGCAAAGCAGUCAGUCAAUAAGUAAUCAUGCAGUUAUGUAGGAAAACAGUAUCAACUCGUCCAAACAAUAAUGUACCAACAAAAGCGGGCUAAAACACGCCAACAGCAGCUCAGUAUGCUACAUUAACAGCAAUGAGUUACUUUUCAACUUCAUUACCCGAUGAAGACAAGCAGUAAAGAAGUUAUAGGGUCGCGAUUUACAGUUGCCUUUUAUAGCUUGAGUCCGCAAAUAAUAGGUACUAUUUAUUAUGAAA
Molecule: unclassified non-coding RNA, 3455 nt
Organism: Stylophora pistillata
Lineage: Eukaryota; Metazoa; Cnidaria; Anthozoa; Scleractinia; Pocilloporidae
Source: RefSeq, a predicted model, not a curated record